AACGUGAAGUCGCUCAGUCGUGUCCGACCCUUGGCAUGGACUGCAGCCCACCAGGCUCCCCCGUCCAUGGGGCGUGCCAGGCAAGAGUACUGGAGUGGGGCGCCAUUGCCUUCUCCAGGAGGUCUCUAGUACCUUCUAAACAUGUGCCGUACCGCAUGAGAGGAAGUACGACACGAGGAAGCGCAUGCUUGUUGUUUGGCAGCCAUUCUUUUCUGAGAGAAUUUGGUUAUAACUUAGAAAAGCAAGACAACGUGAGAGAAAAAUAACUUUAAAAAAAGCAACACUUGUUUUCCUCAGAAGGCACCACCUGUAGGUUCUCUGAAGGGAGGCAACGGGUUGGUGCUAGAGGACGACCUUUGGGGGAGUAGAAGAGAGGGUCAGCCCGACCGCGCCUGCGUGACGGGGCUCCUGGAGCCGAAGGCCGGGCUCCAGCGGUUGUGGUGCCCGCGCCCGCUCCUGGCACAGUGAACACGUUCCGGCCCCACGGGAAGGCGGACGCGGGGAAGGAGGUGAGGCGACGGUCGCUGCGACAGCCGGGGCUGUAACCAGCGGGGAGACAGGCACACGUGGGCACGUGUGCUUCCCUUAGUCCGCCCCUGUACCCUCUCCUCAGUGGCUCUUAAAGAAUCCUGUGUGGGGUUCGACAGAGUGUUGGGGAUACCAACGCAAACGAGACAAGGUGCCCAACCCCAAAACUCCGACGAGAUGAGCCACGCAGGAGGAGCGCCUCUGCGUCUAUGGAGCCAGGAGAGACUGCGUUGAGAGGACAGCUGUCAGGAGAGCUCUAAAGACAGCCGAUAGAGGGUGUUAUUAUCUACAGUCUGCCACAUGGUGAAAAUGACCUGCCUUUGAAGAGCUGAGACAGAGGGCUGAAGCUGUACAGUUCUGCCAGGAAGUGCAUGAACAACUAACUACUGUAAAAUGUUGGUUAAUGCUAAGAGGAAGCAGAAUUGAAAGGGAGUCAUAGGGAUCGGUAAGUGAAAUCUAGGUUCUAGUAAAUCCUGCCACUGUCCAACUAAAUAGGGUGAUUAUGGAGAAAUUGCUCAAUUUUUGAUAGACUUUAGUUUCCUUAUUUAUAUUAGGUUGAAGCCUACACACAUUUUAAAAAGACCAGAAGUUAAAAUUUAAAUGAAAUGAGAUAGUUGGAUCAGUGUGACCACAGGAGACAUUAUUGUCUAUUAUUUUCUGUAAUUUGAUAACCUUCCAUGAAAAAGUUUAGCAAUGAUCAAUGGCGAUAACCUGGAAAGAUCACAAAAAUCAGUCACUCCCCUGGGAGCUGAGUUACUUGGUAUUUACAUAGGCUGAUUCCUCCCAAUCAGAAGCAUCAUAUGGGGAUUUUCUAUUGUUUCUGUGUGCUAGGUCAGGGCUUUAAACUUGUAUACCAAAAACAAGGAAGCAGCAUACUAAAGUCUUACUUCACCUGGAUAUGUGACAAAUUUUAAAUGAGGGCAGACAUGGAAAACUCAAGAAAAUUGAUCUAAAUUUUGUUUUCCUCUUACUUUUUAUCCCAACUGCAGGGCCAUUUCUAGGAGUGAUUGUCUCAUGUGAAGUCCACAGAUGUCUUUGCU
Bubalus bubalis (water buffalo) is the source of this 1568-nucleotide long non-coding RNA. RefSeq lists it as uncharacterized. The transcript has 3 exons. The record is from RefSeq and is a predicted model, not a curated record. Lineage: Eukaryota; Metazoa; Chordata; Mammalia; Artiodactyla; Bovidae.